CCCCUCCUUAAAACUUAAAUUACAUUUACCCCUACGGUCUGAACACCCGGAAGAAGGUACGAGGCUAUUCUGUCCCGUGAUGCCAAGGGAGAAAAACCCCCCCACCCAAGAGCGCAGCCCCGAGCGGCGGGCCGGGGGCGGGCUGGCGGGCGCGCGCGGGGGGGCAACAAGGUGAAGGAGGGCUGGGGGGACUGCAGCGCCGGGCGCUGCCUCCACACCCCACUGCCCUGCAUUUUCUCCACCACGUGGAAGAAUCUCGUGCGGGUGGCGCCCACGGGAGGCGGGGGUCCCGGUGCCACCCCCCCCCACCCCUCACUCCUCAGCCCCCUCCCCAGCGCAGGGCCCGGCCGGCUGCUCCCAGUCCCCUGCUCAGAGAAGUUUCCAGAGGAUUGGAGAAUGAAACAGCAGGCGCAUUCUGGAUUUCUUUUAUCCUAAUAAAACUCCUCCAAAGAAUUUGCCGUUUUCCCCUCUGCUUAAUAGCCAGGAUCUGGUUUCAGACCUGCCCGCAUAUUCCCUCAGCAACCCUCCCUGCUCAGUGCUUGUCCCGGGUUGACCUCCAUCCUGUUCAUUUCUAUCAUGUUUUAAGGAGCAUGGAACAUCAAAGCCACUAUUUUCUCUAUGGGGAAUCUGCCUUUCCUUGAAAUAGAAGUUGAAGAAUUAUUUAAAGAAUAUUCUUUCAAGGGAGCAGCAGUUGGAUCAUUGGUUUACCCAGAGCCCUCACAUGUCCCCACUCAGCCAUGGUGGUGCACCAAUUUUCACAUAAAAAAAUAUGGUAGUGCCACACUACUAAAGAAGAUACAUUUACUGGCAUUUCUGGAUUAGAAGUACUAGUUCAGUUCCAGAGGCAGAAAAUAACUCAGGAGGCUUAGGAAGACGUCAAGAAGAAAUAACUGGAUUCUUUGCUGUGUCUCUGCAGAGCAAGGGGGACCAUACCCUUUCAACUCUUCGAGUUUACAAGAGGGAGAUUCCAACUCUAUCAGCCCUUCCUCUGCCUGAUAGACCAGAGACUUCACAGCCCUGAUUCUGUCAGCUCUUCAAUGGAGCUUUCCCUUCAGGUGAACCUAGGCCUGGACCUGUUUGUGAUAGGUGUGUCUGUGCCUAAGAAAACGGCACUGCCAUCCUCAGUUACCUCCCAAAAGACUGUAGAGACAGGACCCUUUUCAUUUCUUUACACCAUUAAUUCAUCCAGUCAUUUAAGUCAGUAAAUAGUCAUUGAGCUCCUACAAAUGUGUCAGGCACUAUACUAGGCACUGAGGGAGGAGCAGAGAACAGACAAAUACCCGACUUGCAUGGAAUAUUGUAGUGGGUAAAAUAAGAUAUAGGCAGAUAAAUAUAUAAAUAUAGGAUCUGUCCAGUGGGGAUACUCUGCAAGGGACAAUUAAGCAAAAUCAGAGAAUACAGAGAUGAUGAAGGGGAUUCUAUUUGAUAUAAAGUAGUCAGAAAAGACCUCCCUGAUAAUGCAACGUCUGAGCAGAGCACGGGCCCAUGUACACAACACCUGUCUCAGCCUCAGCCACUGGCUUUUCUUGGCUGUUAUAGCAGCUAACAGACUCCAUGCAGACCCCUGUGGUUUCUCUGCCUGAGGACCACAAGCCACAGGUCUAGAAUAUCUGACUGCUCUCCCCAACCCUCUCCAAACUCAGCUGAAAUGCCAAGCCAUAGGCCUUGCCUCCUGAGCAACUGCCAAUGGGGCUAAAGGAUGAAAUACAGAAAUGCAGAGGAUUUAAUUUCCCCUGAAUGAACUUUGACCAGAGGGAGACAGGAGAUUGGAUAUUCUGGGCAGAUAAACUUCCUCUUCUUUUUUCCCUCUGAUGGACUGUUCCAGUAUAUGAUUUCUCCAUACAGCCUCUCUGAAGUCAACCUGUGUGACCAAACCUAUUUGCUUCCCUAGUGUUAUAAUUUGGACUGCAUUCCCCAAAAGAUAUGUUGAAGUCUUAACCCCAGUAUGUUAUUUGGAAAGAGGGUCUUUGCAGAUGUAAUCAAGUUAAGAUGAGAUCAUCAGGGUGGAGCCUAACCUAAUACAGCUGAUGCCCUUAUAAGAAGAAAAGACAGGACAUAGAGGGAGAAAAUGGCCAUAUGAUGACAGAGAGGAAGACUGGAAUGAUCCAUCUACCAGGCAAGGAACAUCAAGGAUUGCCAGCAAACACCAGAAGCCAGAAGAGGCAAGGAAUGAUCUCCUCUACAGUUUUCAGAGGGCAUGUGGCCCUGCCAACAUCUUUAUUUUGGAUUUCUAGCCUCCAGAACUGCAAGACAAUAAAUGUCUAUUGUUUUAGGGAGACCAUGUUCAUAGUACUUUGUUACAGCGGCCCUAGGAAACAAACACACUAAGUUACCAGCUAUGUUGGAUUUACCUCCCAAAUAAAGCACUAACAGUCCAUGCCUGAGGCUCUGUUUUCCAGAGAACUGUGACUGUGUCAAAGACCUGAAUAAAGUGAAGGAUGGUAUUUGAGGACAGAGAUUACAGACACAGGGAAGAUAAUCCAAAGGUGGCAGCAUGCUUGAUGUGUUAGAGGACCCGGAAGAAAGCUAGCGUGUUUGGAGAAUGAAUAAGGAGAAAAGUGCCAAGAGAUGAAGUCAAAGAGGGAGCCAAAGUUGCUAUCCCUAGGGCCUUAUGGACCACAGAAAAGACUUUGAAUUUUUUUAACAAGGUAUUAGUGAGAUGUAAUUUACAUAUAGUAGUAAAAUGAACAAAUCUUAUGGAUAUGGUUUUGUGAAAUUUUUUUUACACAUUGCUCUGGUUUGAAUAUGCCUCCCAUUCAUGUGUUAAAAACUAAUCCCCAAGGUGAUGGUAUUGAGAGGUGGGACCUUUGGUAGGUGACUAAGUCAUGAGGGCGGAUAUAUUAUAAAAAAAGACCCAAAAGAGCUCCCUUGCCUCCUACUACAUGAAGACAAAGGAAGUCCGCCAUUGGAAGAGGGCCAUCAC
Long non-coding RNA from Lutra lutra (Eurasian river otter), 2923 nucleotides. RefSeq lists it as uncharacterized. The transcript has 4 exons. The record is from RefSeq and is a predicted model, not a curated record. Lineage: Eukaryota; Metazoa; Chordata; Mammalia; Carnivora; Mustelidae.